RNAcentral lists this ribosomal RNA (631 nucleotides) under Bacillus sp. (in: firmicutes). RNAcentral describes it as "bacterial SSU rRNA". It matches the Rfam family "Bacterial small subunit ribosomal RNA", at positions 51 to 662 of the family's 1533-position model. Lineage: Bacteria; Bacillati; Bacillota; Bacilli; Caryophanales; Bacillaceae. The record is from RNAcentral.
AUACAUGCAAGUCGAGCGGACAGAUGGGAGCUUGCUCCCUGUAUGUUAGCGGCGGACGGGUGAGUAACACGUGGGUAACCUGCCUGUAAGACUGGGAUAACUCCGGGAAACCGGGGCUAAUACCGGAUGCUUGAUUGAACCGCAUGGUUCAAUUAUAAAAGGUGGCUUUUAGCUACCACUUACAGAUGGACCCGCGGCGCAUUAGCUAGUUGGUGAGGUAACGGCUCACCAAGGCAACGAUGCGUAGCCGACCUGAGAGGGUGAUCGGCCACACUGGGACUGAGACACGGCCCAGACUCCUACGGGAGGCAGCAGUAGGGAAUCUUCCGCAAUGGACGAAAGUCUGACGGAGCAACGCCGCGUGAGUGAUGAAGGUUUUCGGAUCGUAAAACUCUGUUGUUAGGGAAGAACAAGUACCGUUCGAAUAGGGCGGUACCUUGACGGUACCUAACCAGAAAGCCACGGCUAACUACGUGCCAGCAGCCGCGGUAAUACGUAGGUGGCAAGCGUUGUCCGGAAUUAUUGGGCGUAAAGCGCGCGCAGGCGGUUUCUUAAGUCUGAUGUGAAAGCCCCCGGCUCAACCGGGGAGGGUCAUUGGAAACUGGGGAACUUGAGUGCAGAAGAGGAGAGU